This 79-nucleotide small nucleolar RNA is filed under the name Tauraco erythrolophus (red-crested turaco). Lineage: Eukaryota; Metazoa; Chordata; Aves; Musophagiformes; Musophagidae. The record is from RNAcentral.
UGCCGAUGAUGACCACGCCAUGCUAAUACUGACCGGUUCUUGGCCGGGUUGAGUUCAACUUCUUCCAGUUCUGAGGCAC